CAUAGGCUGUGUUCUCAGUGAACCUAUGCCAACUUUGUGACAGUAGAUGUGUGGCUGAGCUGCUAUGUUCAGAUUAAGAACUGGUCAUUCCAAAAGUUUGAAACUUGAUGUAUAGAUUUGGCUCACCAGUGAAAAAGCAACAUCCAGAGUAAAGCUAUAAAGAAGCCCAAACCCUUCAGUCUCUCCUGAACCAAUACUCUGACUCCAGACCAUGUUUACAGGAUGUCUGUGAUAUAUUCGAGAGAGCUAUGAACUGCACUGAGCACUGCUGAUUUCUCCUGAUUUCUCACAUGAGGACAGCAAAUAUCUCAGGGUCUGACCUUUCUACAAAGAUUAACAAAUUAUCUCUCUGCUAUGACUUGUUCCAGCUAAGCCAGCCUGUGACUGCAGUCCCGUCAGCAGAAAACAAGCAGCUCUGUGCUGUAAUACAGCUGUGUAGUGGCUGGAUAGAACUUGAUUUCUGAAUGCUGAAGAGGACAUAAGCAGGUAGCUUCAGUGCUUGGAGCGAUUUCCAGGUGUCAGCUGAAUUGAACUAUACUGAGUGGAGUGUGUCGACAGAAUCUCUUUUCCAUAAGAGCUGCUGCUAUAUUGUAAUAAUCCCUAUAGAAAAGAGUAUAGAAGAGAUUGUUCUGCUGCUGAGAUUCUCUCUCCCCAUAUUUCAGCAGAUGGGGAUCUGCUGAAAUUCCUUGAAUUUAGCAUAGUAAUAAACUUAGAAAACAAAAGGUGAGUAGAAACAUUAUUUUACUUGUGGCUUCAUUAAUAUCUUAAACUGUUGGAGCAAAUUAGUUAAUAAAUGGCAGACAAACACUUUCAAGAAUGCACUUCUCUUCACAAGGCUGCAUGAUCCUACUCAUUUUACAGGGCAAUCUAUGCUGAUAUGUGUGCAUGAGAAAGCCAAUACUUGUGUCCCAUAGAAACACAAAGAGUAUUUAGCAUCGUGGUCCUUUCAGUGCUGUCCUGGAAUCUUGCAGCUCCCUUCCACUCCUGCUGCAACCCUAAGCACUAUCAAGCGAGAAGAAGAGCAGCCUAUUUUCCUAGCAUGCCCACCAGUUUAUUUCAUAAUAUCCUUCUCUGAUUUGUGGGGAAUGCUUGAGGUUAACAUCUGGAAAAGUGUUGCCUCCAGAAGUCAACAAGAAAUGAUGAGAUCCCUGCUAGUUCGCUGAAAUUAUUAAUUUGCCUCUGGUCUGUGAUUGCAUCAGUAUCAACACUAGCAUUUUUUGGUGAAAGUGCUCAUCAGCCACCUGCCUAGCAUCCUCCCAUAUCAUCCUCUUGGACUAUAUGAUCCUGUAUAGUCAGGGUAAAUUGUGAAAAUGUCUUGCCACUUCCAAGAUCCAAGACGGAGGAGAAUUUUGCGAAAAACACCAAAUAACAAAGGAAAACAGGUGAUAAAUCAUUGUGAAUAGAGACCUACAGUGUGGACAAUACUGCCCUUUUCCUCUCUUCUUUUUUGUACAUCAGAGAUGUCACAGUGACCAAAGCUAAAAAUGUCAUGAAUUGUGUGAGAACUGUAAGAGUAGGAGGAACUUUUAAAACAUUCCCAAGAGACAUACCCAAAGAGAGAAGAUGAUAUUUCUUUCACAUGUGCAUACUUUGGGAAACGCUCAUCACAUUCUCCAGGGGCAUUUCUAAUUAUGUGACACUAUGCAGAAAAGAACUGAAAGAUCCUCUUACUUUAUCACCAUUUGGUAGCCCAAGAUGCCAUUCUGAGCAUCCUGUUUGCACGUUUGUAUCUAUGAAAAUAAAACAGAUCAUAUCAGAUGCUUUUAAAAGUGCACAUUUGUGUAGAAGCAACAAAAAUGAACAUGAAUACAUACGAAUGAUAAUUUAUUUUUCACUAUUUUGUGUGAUCUUUAUUGAUAAUUCAUUAGAAUCAAGAAUGCUUAAUAAAAAUACCUUCUGUCACUGCUGUUACAAUGUUGAAAAGCAUAUGCUGACAUCAGUUGUAACUGUCUGCAGAAGCCUACAGUGUACAAGUCUACAUCUGGACUAGUCACCUUCUGUCCUUCUUAUAGGCAAUGAAAAAUAAAAGGCAUUUCCAGAGCUCAAUUUCCUCUCACACUUGCAGUAUAUAGUAUAGAGGCCUCAUAUUUUGCUGCUAAAAAUCUUCUGCAAGAAUGCAAAACUCUUUAUCUCCAUCUGCAGUGUCUCACUGUUAUUCUCAGAAAGGUUCUUCUGAGCAUGAUUCUCAUCAGAAGCAUAGUUUUUGAUUCAGAACCCUUGAGAUUUUUUUCACACAUCCAAAUUCAGCAGUUCUCCAGGGAGAAUUUGAAUAGUGUCCUUCUCCCAUGCAAGUAUCCGGUGAAAGAUUUCUUUACCACAGAAGCUAAGGAUGAGCUGUUUUUCUCAAAGUCAUUGGACAGAUGACAACGUCAUCAAUGUCCAAAGAGGCUCCAAGAGGCAAAGUUCAAUUUAGCAUUUUAGGAAAAC
This is a non-coding RNA of Phalacrocorax carbo (great cormorant), 2427 nucleotides long. The record is from RefSeq and is a predicted model, not a curated record. Lineage: Eukaryota; Metazoa; Chordata; Aves; Suliformes; Phalacrocoracidae.